AUGACUCUCGGCAACGGAUAUCUCGGCUCUCGCAUCGAUGAAGAACGUAGCGAAAUGCGAUACCUGGUGUGAAUUGCAGAAUCCCGCGAACCAUCGAGUCUUUGAACGCAAGUUGCGCCCGAGGCCACUCGGCCGAGGGCACGCCUGCCUGGGCGUCACGC
RNAcentral lists this ribosomal RNA (161 nucleotides) under Hordeum patagonicum subsp. patagonicum. RNAcentral describes it as "5.8S ribosomal RNA". It matches the Rfam family "5.8S ribosomal RNA". From Rfam's summary of the family: 5.8S ribosomal RNA (5.8S rRNA) is a component of the large subunit of the eukaryotic ribosome. It is transcribed by RNA polymerase I as part of the 45S precursor that also contains 18S and 28S rRNA. The record is from RNAcentral. RNAcentral also lists the same sequence under 4 other names. Lineage: Eukaryota; Viridiplantae; Streptophyta; Magnoliopsida; Poales; Poaceae.